AGGAAGGAGAUUUAUUUGGAUGACUUACUUAUACGAUGUGGUCCAACUAAUCCAACAAUGGCUGGCUAUGAAUCCAAGAAUCCAGCCAGUGCACGGAUUCCUGACACCUCAGAAGAAAUGUUUGAAUUCCGAUGUUCCAUCAGGAUGCCCAUGAGGCAAAGGAAGGCACGAGGCCUGUCUAGAGAGAGGACAGACUAAAAGCAGGCAUCCGUGCAGAGGUCCCUGUGGAAUGGCUGCCAGGAAAUAUUUUGUGAAUAUUGAAAGCAAGUCCUCCUGGAGAAGAAACCUGACUUUGUGUUUCUAAUUCAUGACAGCAAGUAGGGUGUCUGAAGACCUAGUUGUAGGAGAUCAGCUGCUGUUGGGUGCCACCUUCCCUGCUUUGAAACUGACAGAAAAUGAGAUACGGAAGCAGCUUCCAGACCACAGACUUUCCUCGGCUGUCUGUUUCUUGGUCUCCAUGGGACGGCUAUUUCCAGGGCUCAUCUACCUUCAAGAGCCUCAGAAAGAAGCUGAAGUGCACGGUCGGCCCUCUCUGAUCUCGGCUGCUUGGUACCGGGACAGGGAAAGUCUU
Peromyscus maniculatus bairdii (prairie deer mouse) is the source of this 571-nucleotide non-coding RNA. NCBI's taxonomy places the organism in Eukaryota, Metazoa, Chordata, Mammalia, Rodentia, Cricetidae. The record is from RefSeq and is a predicted model, not a curated record.